GUGUCCCGUGGCCGCUCUAACAAAUGACCACAACCUGGGAGGCUUAUAACAACAGAAACCUACUCUCUCACAGUUCCGGAGGCC
Molecule: non-coding RNA, 84 nt
Organism: Ceratotherium simum simum (southern white rhinoceros)
Lineage: Eukaryota; Metazoa; Chordata; Mammalia; Perissodactyla; Rhinocerotidae
Source: RefSeq, a predicted model, not a curated record